CCCGAAGUAGCAAAAUACACUCCCUCCCCCGGCGGUCCUGGCCCUCUGGGCAAAAUGUUCACACAGCCCCUCAGGUUCCAAUGCAAGCAUUGUCCAACAAGUUGCAGGUUUCCCAGGGAGCCGAGGAGCAGACAUGAGGCUAGGGCUGGUUUGCCGGGGUCGUUAGGCGAGAUCCAGGCUUUGGAAGUUAUGUCAUAAGCUUUAGACUGGGCUUGACUUGGUGGGCCAUCUCGUUGGCCUUUCUUGAAUGUGGAGCGACGUCCUCAGCGGAGCAGGAAGGCGGAGCGACGUCCUCAGCGGAGCAGGAAGGCGGAGCGACGUCUUCAGCGGAGCAGGAAGGCGGAGCGACGUCCUCAGCAGAGCAGGAAGGCAGAGCGACGUCCUCAGCGGAGCAGGAGCGAUGUCCUCAGUGGCACAGGAAAAUGUAACAACGUCCAUAUAGAACCUGGGUGGAGUGGCAUCCACGGCAGAGUAGGUGGCUACUGUGGGAUUUGAUUGGCCUCCAACUCCAUGACUCUCUGAAAGUAAUCAGACAUGUUUCAGACUGCUCUGUGGAAUAUAACACCACCUGUGACAGCAUGGGCAAAGCUACUUUGGACACUAGUGCAUUUUAUGAGAAGUGUAUACACUGUAGUGACUGUGAUUGGAGUUUGAGGAGGAAGGUAAAUACAAAUGUUAUAUCCCUUUUUUAAUUAAAGUAAGCCAAAAGUUCUAAAUUGAUGUACUCACCGUACUACGCCAUACUAAGUAGUUUUUCUGUACUGUUUUCUUUUUUUCCCACUUGUAGGACGACAGCUUUAUUGAAGAAAUAAAACCAUCUCUACAUGUAGCCAUCAACUGCAGCUUUCCUGAGAUUCGCCUGAAGGUGCACUGUUUCAGCCCAAAGUAUGAGUUUCGGGCUUGCUUCAAGUCUUUCAAUCAAACCAAGGGUGAAACCGGUACAGAAAGCAUUAAUGAAGCAUCUAACCAUCGAAUUUGGAACUUUGUGAUCAUACCUGUGGUACUGUUUCUGGUGGUACUAGUUGUUUUAGCCAUAAUGUGUAAACGGAAAACAAUGAAUGUGAGUAUAACAUGGUGACAUUUUAAAGUAAGUGAAUAUAUUAUUUAAAGCCAUUCACUCAGUUGGUAAAUUUUGUAAUUUAUUAUUUUGCACAG
Molecule: long non-coding RNA, 1155 nt
Organism: Ictalurus punctatus (channel catfish)
Lineage: Eukaryota; Metazoa; Chordata; Actinopteri; Siluriformes; Ictaluridae
Source: Ensembl